This 255-nucleotide ribosomal RNA is filed under the name Faecalibacterium prausnitzii. Its description in RNAcentral is "partial 23S ribosomal RNA". It matches the Rfam family "Bacterial large subunit ribosomal RNA", at positions 2029 to 2282 of the family's 2925-position model. Lineage: Bacteria; Bacillati; Bacillota; Clostridia; Eubacteriales; Oscillospiraceae. The record is from RNAcentral.
CCGCCCGGCGAAAUUGUAGUACCGGUGAAGAUGCCGGUUACCCGCGACAAGACGGAAAGACCCCAUGGAGCUUUACUGUAGCCUAAUAUUGGGUUUCGAUGUUGCAUGCACAGGAUAGAUGGGACACAGGGAAACAAGUGCUUUGGCAUUUGUGGAGUGGCCGUUGGGAUACCAUCCUUGCGAUAUUGGAAUUCUAACCUGCGCCUUUGAAUCAAGGCGGGGGACAUUGUUAGGUGGGCAGUUUGACUGGGGCGG